GACGAACGCUGGCGGCGUGCUUAACACAUGCAAGUCGAACGGAAAGGCCCUGCUUUUGUGGGGUGCUCGAGUGGCGAACGGGUGAGUAACACGUGAGUAACCUGCCCUUGACUUUGGGAUAACUUCAGGAAACUGGGGCUAAUACCGGAUAGGAGCUCCUGCUGCAUGGUGGGGGUUGGAAAGUUUCAGCGGUUGGGGAUGGACUCGCGGCUUAUCAGCUUGUUGGUGGGGUAGUGGCUUACCAAGGCUUUGACGGGUAGCCGGCCUGAGAGGGUGACCGGCCACAUUGGGACUGAGAUACGGACCAGACUCCUACGGGAGGCAGCAGGGGGGAACAUUGCACAAUGGGCGGAAGCCUGAUGCAGCAACGCCGCGUUCGUGAUGACGUCUUUCGGGUUGUAAACCGAUGUCGCCUGUGACGAAGCGUGAUUGACGGUAAUGGGUAAAGAAGCACCGGCUAACUACGUG
This 468-nucleotide ribosomal RNA is filed under the name uncultured bacterium. RNAcentral's name for it is "partial 16S ribosomal RNA". It matches the Rfam family "Bacterial small subunit ribosomal RNA", at positions 28 to 507 of the family's 1533-position model. The record is from RNAcentral.